CGCACGGGGUGAGUAACACGUGACUUAUCUACCCUCGAGUGGGGAAUAACUUCGGGAAACCGAGGCUAAUACCGCAUAAUACCCACGGGUCAAAGGAGCAAUUCGCUUGAGGAGGAGGUCGCGGCCGAUUAGUUAGUUGGCGGGGUAAUGGCCCCACCCAAGACAGUGAUCGGUAUCCGGCCUGAGAGGGCGCACGGACACACUGGAACUGAAACACGGUCCAGACUCCUACGGGAGGCAGCAGUGGGGAAUUUUGCGCAAUGGGGGAAACCCUGACGCAGCAACGCCGCGUGGAGGAUGAAGUCUCUUGGGACGUAAACUCCUUUCGAUCGGGACGAUUAUGACGGUACCGGAAGAAGAAGCCCCGGCUAACUUCGUG
This 379-nucleotide ribosomal RNA is filed under the name uncultured bacterium. Its description in RNAcentral is "bacterial SSU rRNA". It matches the Rfam family "Bacterial small subunit ribosomal RNA", at positions 99 to 507 of the family's 1533-position model. The record is from RNAcentral.